AACCAUUCUCACCUGCGGCUAGACCUGCGGAGGGAUCAUUACAAGUGACCCCGGUCUAACCACCGGGAUGUUCAUAACCCUUUGUUGUCCGACUCUGUUGCCUCCGGGGCGACCCUGCCUUCGGGCGGGGGCUCCGGGUGGACACUUCAAACUCUUGCGUAACUUUGCAGUCUGAGUAAACUUAAUUAAUAAAUUAAAACUUUCAGCAACGGAUCU
Molecule: unclassified non-coding RNA, 216 nt
Filed under: soil metagenome
Description: partial contains 5.8S ribosomal RNA, internal transcribed spacer 2, and large subunit ribosomal RNA
Source: RNAcentral